GGAAUAUUGGACAAUGGGCGAAAGCCUGAUCCAGCAAUGCCGCGUGAGUGAUGAAGGCCUUAGGGUUGUAAAGAUCUUUCAGUUGGGAAGAUAAUGACGGUACCAACAGACGAAGCCCCGGCUAACUCCGUGCCAGCAGCCGCGGUAAUACGGAGGGGGCUAGCGUUAUUCGGAAUUACUGGGCGUAAAGCGCACGUAGGCGGACUGGAAAGUUAGAGGUGAAAUCCCAGGGCUCAACCUUGGAACUGCCUUUAAAACUAUCAGUCUAGAGAUCGAGAGAGGUGAGUGGAAUUCCGAGUGCAGAGGUGAAAUUCGUAGAUAUUCGGAGGAACACCAGUGGCGAAGGCGGCUCACUGCCUCGAUACUGACGCUGAGGUGCGAAAGCGUGGGGAGCAAAC
This 398-nucleotide ribosomal RNA is filed under the name uncultured bacterium. RNAcentral's name for it is "bacterial SSU rRNA". It matches the Rfam family "Bacterial small subunit ribosomal RNA", at positions 358 to 773 of the family's 1533-position model. The record is from RNAcentral.